AAAGAGUGUAAUCAUUACCUUUUUUGUUGCAUAUUGGAAAUAAAAUAUAAAAUCUAGUUCAUUAUCUUUUUACUUAAAGCUUAAAAUAAGAGCCGUUACACAAUAGACAAGAAGAGGCAGAAACAACCGUAUUUGUGGCGCAUGAUGCGUUGAUAUUGCAAAGACAAAGAAUGAGUUCACAACGUUUCAAUAAGCUACUUGAGUGACUAAAGCUCUAUAGGUAACUCAGUAUCCUUAAGUAAGGGCAUCGAAAAAAUUAUGCAAAUUAAAUAAGAUCUCUUCUAUCUUUACAUUCGAUUACCUUGAUUAUUUAUUGUCAUUUUACUAGCUCGAAUUGAUACAUAGGGCCUGUUUGGCCAUACGAUUUGAAA
Molecule: long non-coding RNA, 371 nt
Organism: Solanum tuberosum (potato)
Lineage: Eukaryota; Viridiplantae; Streptophyta; Magnoliopsida; Solanales; Solanaceae
Exons: 2
Source: RefSeq, a predicted model, not a curated record